GGCCGCUUAGUUGAAGUUAAGGUUUAGAUGAGGUAGGAUCCUAAUUAUUAAAAAAAGAAAAUUCAUCUAAAUGUCAUGAUUCUCCUCUAUUAUCCAUUGAAAAAGAUUAGAAAUAAUGCAUUUGAUCUCCCAUGGGAUUUCUAUUCUUAUCCUUCAAACACCACUGAUGGCUUUCAUAGUCAACUUUAGGAACCUAGCAAUGGACCGAUAUUUUUUUGUGGACCCAAAAAUUGAUUUUGAUGAAUACACAAUAUUUGAGUAUAUAAUGGUACUAAUGGUUUG
RNAcentral lists this long non-coding RNA (282 nucleotides) under Elaeis guineensis (African oil palm). Its description in RNAcentral is "long non-coding RNA (EGUI_LNC030413)". The record is from RNAcentral. Lineage: Eukaryota; Viridiplantae; Streptophyta; Magnoliopsida; Arecales; Arecaceae.